AUACGUAGGGGGCGAGCGUUGUCCGGAAUUACUGGGCGUAAAGGGCGUGUAGGCGGCCGCGCAAGUCAAGUGUGAAACGCCACGGCUUAACCGAGGCAUUGCACAUGAAACUGCGUGGCUUGAGUGCAGGAGAGGGAAGUGGAAUUCCUAGUGUAGCGGUGAAAUGCGUAGAUAUUAGGAGGAACACCAGUGGCGAAGGCGACUUCCUGGACUGUAACUGACGCUGAGGCGCGAAAGCGUGGGUAGCAAACAGGAUUAGAUACCCUGGUAGUCCACGCUGUAAACGAUGGGUACUAGGUGUGGGUAGUUCACUCUAUCCGUGCCGCAGCAAACGCAAUAAGUACCCCGCCUGGGGAGUACGGCCGCAAGGUUGAA
RNAcentral lists this ribosomal RNA (375 nucleotides) under uncultured bacterium. RNAcentral describes it as "bacterial SSU rRNA". It matches the Rfam family "Bacterial small subunit ribosomal RNA", at positions 523 to 898 of the family's 1533-position model. The record is from RNAcentral.